This 1446-nucleotide ribosomal RNA is filed under the name uncultured Bordetella sp. Its description in RNAcentral is "partial 16S-23S ribosomal RNA intergenic spacer". It matches the Rfam family "Bacterial small subunit ribosomal RNA". Lineage: Bacteria; Pseudomonadati; Pseudomonadota; Betaproteobacteria; Burkholderiales; Alcaligenaceae. The record is from RNAcentral.
AGUUCGAUCAUAGCUCAGAUUGAACGCUGGCAGGAUGCCCCGCAUACCAGGUCGAACGGCAGCACGGACUUCGGUCUGGUGGCGAGUGGCGAACGGGUGAGCGAUGUAUCGGAACGUGCCUAGUAGCGGGGGAUAACUGAAAGCGUAGCUAAUGCCACAUACGCCCGUGGAGGAAAGCGGGGACCUUCGGGCCUCCGCACUAUUGGAAGCGGCCGAUAUCAGGAUUAGUUGGUGGAGUAACGGCUCACCAAAGGCGACGAUCGCUGGCUGGUUUGAAGGACGACCAGCCACACUGGGACUGAGACACGGCCCAGACUCUGCCUGGGAGGCAGCAGUGAGGGGAAUUUUGGACAAUGGAAACCUGAUCCAGCAUGCAUCCAGCGUACGCGAUGAAGGCCUUCGGGUUGUAAGGCACUUUUGGCAGGAAAAAGCGGCACGGGAUAAUACCCGUGCAACUGACGGUACCUGCAGAAUAAGCACCAGUAACGUGCCAGCAGCCGCGGUAAUACGUAAGUGCAGCGUUAAUCGGAAUUACAGAAUAAAGCGUGCGCAGGCGGUUCGGAAAGAAAGAUGUGAAAUCCCAGAGCUUAACUGGAACUGCAUUUUAACUACCGAGCUAGAGUGUGUCCAGAGGGAGGUGGAAUUCCACGCGAUAGCAGUGAAAUGCGUAGAUAUGCGGAGGAACACCGAUGGCGAAGGCAAUAUCUGGGAUAACACUGACGCUCAUGCACGAAGCAAUGGGGAGCAAACAGGAUUGAAUGCCCACCGGUAGUCCACGCCACAAACGAUGUCAACUAGCUGUUGGGCGCUGGACGCCGGUAGCGCAGCUAGCGUGAAAUUGACCUGGAAAUGCAGUCGCAAGAUUAAAACUCAAAGGAAUUGACGGGGACCGCACAAGCGGUGGAUGAUGUGGUUAAUUCGAUGCAACGCGAAAAACCUUACCUACCCUUGACAUAAUACCGGAAUCCCGAAGAGAUUUGGGAGUGCUCAUAGAAACCGGAACACAGGUGCUGCAUGGCUGUCGUCCAGCUCGUGUCGUGGAUGUUGGGUUAGUCCCGCAACGGGCGCAGCCACUGUCGUCGUUCUUUACGAAAGAGCUCUAAUGGGAACACCAUUGCGACAAACCGGAGAAGGUGGGGAUGACGCGUCAGUCUCGCGGCAUAUGGUGGAACUGCACGUCAUACAAUGGUCGGGACAGAGGUCGCCAGCCCGCGAGGGGAGGCCAAUCCCAGAAACCCGAUCGUAGUCCGGAUCGCAGUCUGCAACUCGACUGCGUGAAGUCGGAAUCAUAGUAAUCGCGGAUCAAUAUCGCAGGUGGUCGUUCGGGUCUUGUACACACGCCCGUCACACCAUGGGGGUGGGUUUUUACCAGAAGUAGUUAAGCUAACCGUAAGGAGGGCGAUUACCAUUGGGAUUCAUGACUGGGGUGAAGUCGUAACAAGGUAA